UCAUAAAUCACCAGGGGACCUUAUUAAAAUACUGAUUCUGAUUUAGUGGGGAUGGGGAGGGAUCCUAGAUUCUGCAUUUCUAACAAGCUCCCAGAGGAUGCUGAU
This 105-nucleotide microRNA precursor is filed under the name Marmota monax (woodchuck). The record is from RNAcentral. Lineage: Eukaryota; Metazoa; Chordata; Mammalia; Rodentia; Sciuridae.